CGUGAGGAGGCUACCAUGCAGUCGAACGGUAACAGGAAGCAGCUUGCUGCUUCGCUGACGAGUGGCGGACGGGUGAGUAAUGUCUGGGAAACUGCCUGAUGGAGGGGGAUAACUACUGGAAACGGUAGCUAAUACCGCAUAACGUCGCAAGACCAAAGAGGGGGACCUUCGGGCCUCUUGCCAUCGGAUGUGCCCAGAUGGGAUUAGCUAGUAGGUGGGGUAACGGCUCACCUAGGCGACGAUCCCUAGCUGGUCUGAGAGGAUGACCAGCCACACUGGAACUGAGACACGGUCCAGACUCCUACGGGAGGCAGCAGUGGGGAAUAUUGCACAAUGGGCGCAAGCCUGAUGCAGCCAUGCCGCGUGUAUGAAGAAGGCCUUCGGGUUGUAAAGUACUUUCAGCGGGGAGGAAGGCGAUAAGGUUAAUAACCUUGUCGAUUGACGUUACCCGCAGAAGAAGCACCGGCUAACUCCGUGCCAGCAGCCGCGGUAAUACGGAGGGUGCAAGCGUUAAUCGGAAUUACUGGGCGUAAAGCGCACGCAGGCGGUCUGUCAAGUCGGAUGUGAAAUCCCCGGGCUCAACCUGGGAACUGCAUUCGAAACUGGCAGGCUAGAGUCUUGUAGAGGGGGGUAGAAUUCCAGGUGUAGCGGUGAAAUGCGUAGAGAUCUGGAGGAAUACCGGUGGCGAAGGCGGCCCCCUGGUCAAAGACUGACGCUCAGUGCGAAAGCGUGGGGAGCAGACAGGAUUAGAUACCCUGCUAGUCCACGCCGUAACGAUGUCGACUUGGAGGUUGUGCCAUGAAGCGUGCUUCGGAGCUACGCGUUAGUCGACUCGGCCUGGGGGGAGUACGG
Molecule: ribosomal RNA, 852 nt
Filed under: Enterobacter cloacae
Lineage: Bacteria; Pseudomonadati; Pseudomonadota; Gammaproteobacteria; Enterobacterales; Enterobacteriaceae
Description: bacterial SSU rRNA
Rfam family: Bacterial small subunit ribosomal RNA
Source: RNAcentral